This 465-nucleotide ribosomal RNA is filed under the name Triticum aestivum (bread wheat). RNAcentral describes it as "partial small subunit ribosomal RNA". Lineage: Eukaryota; Viridiplantae; Streptophyta; Magnoliopsida; Poales; Poaceae. The record is from RNAcentral.
AUGACCAACACUAUGCUAGGUUUGUUGGCUGAUCUUGUUGCUAAAGGAAAGAGAACUUCUAGUGGAUUCACGGAGACACAUCUCAAACAAUGUGUUGCUAUUCUGAAUGAGCAAUUCAAGCUAGCUAUCGCCUCUGAUCAAGUUAGAAACCGUCUCAAGAAGUGGAGGAAGAUUUGGGUCAGGGUUGUCAAUUUGAAGAAUUUAAGUGGAGCUCUAUGGGAUGAAGAUACUUGUACAAUUAGGCUCAGCGAUGAACACUAUGCAGGUCAUUGCAUGACCCACAAACCUGAUGCUCCCUUCUUGAAUAACCCAAUUGAGCACUACCAUGCCAUGGCGACCAUUUUUGGAACAACCGGGGCUAAGGGGAUGAAUGCAAGGUCUGGAAAUGAUCUCCUCUCUAUUGAUGUCGAUGAUGAGGAGAAUGGUGGUGAAUGGUGGGAUCAACACGUCACCACAAGUUGGUGA